CCCUUAGAUGUUCUGGGCUGCACGCGUGUUACAAUCGGGAGUACAACAAGAUUGCAAAUCCUAGUGGAUGAGUGGUUCUUCGAAAUUUUCUGAAGACUGGGAUAGUUGAUUGAAAUUAUUCAACUCGAACGAGGAAUUCCUUGUAAUUGUAAUUCAUUAUAUUGUAAUGAAUACGUCCCUGCCCGUUGUACACACCGCCCGUCGCUCCUACCGAUUGAACGAUCCGGUGAAUUAUUUGGAGUAGCUCUGGAAGUUGUAGAACUUCCUAUGUCACGAAAUUUUGUAAACCUUAUCGUUUAGAGGAAGGAAAAGUCGUAACA
RNAcentral lists this ribosomal RNA (320 nucleotides) under uncultured eukaryote. RNAcentral describes it as "partial 18S ribosomal RNA". It matches the Rfam family "Eukaryotic small subunit ribosomal RNA", at positions 1470 to 1796 of the family's 1831-position model. The record is from RNAcentral.